UCUCUGACGGUCCAGUGGUUAAGACUCUGUGCUUCCACUGCAGGGGGCACAGGUUUGAUCCCUGAUCAGUGAA
Molecule: transfer RNA, 73 nt
Filed under: Ovis aries (sheep)
Lineage: Eukaryota; Metazoa; Chordata; Mammalia; Artiodactyla; Bovidae
Rfam family: tRNA
About the family: Transfer RNA (tRNA) molecules are approximately 80 nucleotides in length. Their secondary structure includes four short double-helical elements and three loops (D, anti-codon, and T loops). Further hydrogen bonds mediate the characteristic L-shaped molecular structure. tRNAs have two regions of fundamental functional importance: the anti-codon, which is responsible for specific mRNA codon recognition, and the 3' end, to which the tRNAs corresponding amino acid is attached (by aminoacyl-tRNA synthetases). tRNAs cope with the degeneracy of the genetic code in two manners: having more than one tRNA (with a specific anti-codon) for a particular amino acid; and 'wobble' base-pairing, i.e. permitting non-standard base-pairing at the 3rd anti-codon position.
Source: Rfam by way of RNAcentral